GAUAAAAAAAAUCCGUACAGUGACGAAAGCUGGAAAGCAGCCAAGGUAAAAGACUGCACGGACGUAUAACAGUUCCUCAAGAGGAUUAACGGUGCCCUCCUAACAUAUUGGGUCAUUUGGGGCACAGCAAGACCUCUCUUGACCCUCGGAACCCCUGCUUAGUGUUUGAGGCGACCUUUGUUCUGGUCCGGUGUGGUAGGUCAGCAGGGUAAGCCGAGAGACCACUAAGUCAUGUGGUCCACAGCGGGUGGCUGCUUCCCGACCAGCCACAUCAUUUCCCGGGGGUGAGUGCAUAUGAUGCAGAUUACAUGCCCACGCUUAUUAGCUUAUGCCGUGGUAAGGAAUAACAUCUGUAUAUAAUGCACAAAAUAAAAAUAAACCAAUAUGUUCAUAAAAUGUCAUAAUAAGAACAAAACCAUCUAGCGGCCUUUCAACCGUUGGAGGUGAUGAGUGCGUAGGCCUAUGCCGACAGACCUAAAAAUAAUCCAUCAACAUCCCGUUUGAGGCACAACCUAAACAGUGGUUUGGCAGCCCGGCCCUCGCUGCCUGGAGCGCCUCCACCUUCCUUGGAUAGACGCUCCCUGUCAGCCUUCCUCGUCCCGGACCUGAGCCUGGCCACUCUCAACCCAAACACGCUGUCUUCCAUAGUCAAUGUUCUGGUGAUCGUCAUUUAUCACCUCAGUGAACUGCCUUCACGCCUCCUCUGCACUGUUUCGGUUCCUUCACCGAGGCGUCUAGUCAAACCCUUCUCCCUUCCACCCACCAGGACCGCCCACGUGCACCGCCUGCCCGUUCAGUGCACUGACCCCUGGCUGGCCAACACACUGCUGCAUGGCCGCGUUUACAAUGCACAACCUACCAACACCAACAUCACCACCACCUCCACCACCACCACCACUACCACCACACUAAUAUCUCUGGUUCAACAAUUGUCCCCAAAGAUACAACCAUCAUCACAGUGAUCAUAUUCACAGUCAUUAUUAUUCAAAACAUCACUACUACAUCACUACUCCAUUAAUUACCACAAUUACAACAACUACCAUAAUGAUCAUUACAGUCACCGCCACCACAACCACUAAAAUAUCACAGCGCAUUCACGACCACUGAACCACCACUAUAGAACACCACAAGCUUGCCACUCUCACCUUGAGAAUAUUGCCUUAAGAUUUAUUUGUAAUUUUUUUUUUUUCGGCGGUUCAACUUUUCCCUUAGGAAUCAGGACACUUCCCAUCUAUUAAGACGAGGCUGGGUGGUAGUGGCAGUAGUGGUGGUGGUGGCAGUGGGGGUGGUACGGUUCAUGCUGGUGUGCUGUCGAAAUAAGAUCUAUUCUAUCAAAGCAAUUCAGGCGAUAGAACUCGCCUGUUUUUGGUCAAGAAUAGGUACGUACUCCUGACACAACGCUUCUGCCAGUAUUUCCAUCGCUGACACAUUAACCAAACUGUAGACAGACUGCAGCAUGCUGGCCUGUGCGGCAAACCGGUGUUUACAACGCCUUACCGCAGCCGGGCAAGACCCUGGUCCGGCCCUGCUAAAUAACCCCCUGCUCUCCGCUACUACCGACUAAUCCUCAUCUUUACGCAGCAAGUCAUCAGGUGAAUUUUUACCGAGGCGAUAAUUUCUCGCUCCCCCCGCAGCUCCUGAUACUCGCCCGCUGGAACAACACCCUCCGGAUCCCUCUUAAAUGUUCCUUCCUUGAAAACUGUAAAGAUCGCGACUUCAGUUUAUCAGUGGUGUCUACAUCUCCGAUACUUCCAUGGGAGCCAUAGUUACGAGGGGACACGAGCAGCCACAGCCACGAGGGGACAUGAAGAGUCACAUUCACGAGGGGACUCGAGGAGCCACCGCCAUGAAGGGAGAUGAGCCAUUACUAUGAGGGGACACGAGGAGCCACAGUCACGCCACAUAAGGGAACCGAAAUAAUCCAGAAUGAGACACUGACGCGAGAGACUGGGGCGAUACAGAAAGACUUGGAAUGAGCCACUGACUCAAGGAAGCGGAAGAGUCCGGAAGAGUCAGGAAUGAGCCACAGACAUGAAGACCCGGAAUAAGCCACAGCCACAAACCAUAAACAAUACUAGACAUGCUCUGUAGGUUGUUGUUGUUGUUGUUUUUAUCUUCUUCAUCUUCUUCUUCCAUGGAAUCCCCUUAAUUCUGUUGGUACGUGGGGAGACUCCCGAUGGCAUCAACUAGCGGGAGCGUCGGGUAAUUAUCUCUGACCCCGGACUAAAGGUCACCGGGGUGUGGAGGAGCCCACGGGAGGGGAAAGCUGCCACGGAUAUGUUGAUUCACUGUUGUUUCUUAUACUGAAUUUUCGGAGUUGCUCAAAUAAAAAACAACUUAAAGUGCAGUGGUGUUCUUCCCCUUCUCCCCAUGUAGCGGUCUGCCUCUCCAUUUCCUUCCUCCUGGUGUAACUGGUUCGUGGGUGUACAGUACCCGCAGCCCGCCUCGAUAAUGUAGAGACUUGAUUAAUUCCUCGCUCGCUAAUGAACUGCCGAGAGGAUCGCUCGGCGGGGAUACGAUCUGACAAGGACAUGACAUGAUCGAGAUAAGAAGUGAUCACGACAUCAACUGAUCCAAAUUUUUCUUUUCACUUCAGUACAUAUCUAUCGACUUUCUGAUCACCAUUUCCUAACAAAUAUCUAUCUAUCUCACUAUUUCUUCUUAUUAGCUUUUUUUUUUUUCUACCGUUCUCAGUACUAGGAAGUAGUGACGCUUCCACGACACAAGAUUCCCCUUGUUGAAGAACUUCGCAGUCUCACUCCUCGCUGCUUUCUUUCCUACAGAUUUUUUCUUCCCCGAACGAUUUGCAUCUCCUUAAAAGGCUUAAACAGAAAGAAAAAAUAAGGAGGCAGAAGAAGAAAAUAGGAGAACGACGAUGAUAAAGCUGACGACAGCAAUACGGUGUUGCAUUGCACGUGUAAGGCAUACAUAGCAACUAAUGUUAUGCAGUGCUGAGUAUCCUUUCCUGCCCUCUGACCCAACAAUAUAGCGGACAAAGUAACUCUCCUUCCUCAACGCCUCUUUUCCUUCCACUCACAUAAUAGCACUGUCUAGCAUCACCUCGCGGCCCGACGAUGAAGCCAUUAGCUUAUCGGUAUUUUUUAUCUAUGCUGAGCUUAUCAUGACACCUUCCUUGACGAGCGUAAGAGGGGGAUGCUCUUGAUAAGCGCCGGGGUCGAGGUAAUAGGGCACGCAGGAAGGCUGCGGCGAGGGCCACAAUAAUGACAAGUAAUGCUAUCGUGAAACUAAUAGCAAGUUCAGGUGAGGGAGGGCACGCAUUUUCACACCUAGACGAUUUAAUUACAGGUAAUGGGAUAAGUAAUGGGGCAUGAUCGGCGACAGCCUCGGGCACGUAAUAGUACCCUACCCUCUUGUGCCCUUCCAUGGCUCUCUCUUCCUCCUUCCUCUCCUGAGGCCUCGCCUCAGCCAUCUUCACGCCUCGCGCUCUGUCAUCCGAGUAUGAUAAGUGAGGAGACACAUGAAUAACUAUUUUACCUUUACGGAUGUUUACUAAUUACCUGGCAAAUGUUUGAUUAUAUCAAGUAAAUAAUCCGUAAAAAGACAUCUCGCCUUAAUGAACAUGAAUGUGAGGACUAGUCCCUCUAUGGGAGACCUGUUUGGACACACAACGAAUACUUCCUUGUACUGUAGCAAUGAUCUAAGGGCGCCGCAAGGUGUGCCACGAAGUUACAAAGUGACGAUGAUUCCCACUCACCGCCUGAACCACUGGGGUCCACUGAAGCCAUCGACUACUGCUUAUUAUUUACAGGGACUGCCACGUGUAGGCCUGACGGUUUCUUGCAGCUUCCCUCAUUACAUUAUGUUCUUAUGUUCUUAUUUCAAGCCCUACUGUCGUUCCUGCCCAUGCCAUCCUCUCCAUAACCAGGUACUAGUAGAACACCACCAAGAAUACCAUUGUAGGCAUGAAAACCUUCCAAUACCUUACUAUUCCAUGUAUUUACAUUACCAGCACCUUUUGUUAUAUACCCACGCAGCCUCAUAUCAACAAUUAGCGUAUCCCGUCCCAUCCCUCCUCAUCCACCUCCCCUUGUGACCCAGACCGCCAAGACACGCCGCGCCCCUGAACGUGUCCCUUUGAAUGGUUUGGUCUGACUGAGUUUAUUGACAAAAUGCCGAGUAUGUCCGCCCCGCCAGCAAACAGUAGGACGUAGCCUUGACGAGCUGUGGUGUGAGGGAUCUUAUGCUUAGUGGUGGGAGGAAGGUGUGUGGUGGAGGAGGAGGAGGAGCAGGAGCAGCAGGAGGGGAGAGACGUGUGGCGCUGGUGGAGAAGAAGGAGCAGGAGCAGGAGGGGGAAUGGUGGUAAGGAGGGAGAGGUGAUGGAGUGAGAAAGAAAGAAAAAAAUGAAGGAAGGAAGGAAGGAAGGAAGAUAGAUAGAUAGAAAGAGGUAAAUAAAGAAAAAAGAUGAAAGAAACAGAAUGAAUGAAAGAAAGAAGGAAAGAAAGAAAAGAGAAAAGGAAAGAAAGAAAAGAGAAAAGAAAGAAAGAAAGAAAGAAAGAAAGAAAGCUUAAUGACAAGGGACGAUAAAUUAAGACUCUGGAAAAGGAUGAAAAUUAAGAAGAAAAAGAAACAUCCAUAGGGAAACCUGAACAAGGAAAAGGUGAACAGAUACAAAAAAAAAAAAAAACAAGAGAAGGAAAUACGAAUCAAACACAAAGAGAACCAGAAAGAAGGAAGAGGAAAAUCGUCGAGACGUGAGCAAAAUCAUUAAUAAGUUUUCAUCUGCGUGUAUAAUAUGAAAUAUGAAAAUAACAAAAAGUUUAGGGAGCAUAAUAUGAACAAGCAUGAUGAGGGUUGAUGAAAGGGAAAA
This is a long non-coding RNA of Scylla paramamosain (green mud crab), 4828 nucleotides long. RefSeq lists it as uncharacterized. Lineage: Eukaryota; Metazoa; Arthropoda; Malacostraca; Decapoda; Portunidae. The transcript is spliced from 2 exons. The record is from RefSeq and is a predicted model, not a curated record.